Molecule: non-coding RNA, 8086 nt
Organism: Manis javanica (Malayan pangolin)
Lineage: Eukaryota; Metazoa; Chordata; Mammalia; Pholidota; Manidae
Source: RefSeq, a predicted model, not a curated record
GGCCGUGUAUGGGGAAUCUCCUUCGGGAAGGGCUUCUCCCUCUGCACCAGGAAGAGGAGAUGUCCAAAUGUCGGCACUGUUCCUAGUGGAGAAGGCAGAGCUUAAACUUGGGAAGACGGGAAAACUUUUCCACUCCUAUGGUUUUGGCAACCGGAUGGUCCUUCCCUGGCUGGACCCUGCUGGCUCCGGGGCUGCUGGAGCUGAGACCCGGGCACCUUGGACAAAAAGCAGGCAGAAGGUCAGAAUUCUUAGCAUGUCGGUUUCCUGAAUCUCUGCCUGGGUCCCAUGGAAGCAACAGUGGAGGGAAACCACAGGAAAGAACCCAGGACUGGCCCUGUGCACCUGUGGUUCGAGGCAGCCUCAUGGACUGGAGGGUUUGCGGUUCUCACCAGACGGGCAUCUGUUAGACGACUCUGAGGACACAAUUACCAAGGCUUUGACUGGAUUGUCACAUUUGAGAGAGAUGUACAUGGACACAGAUAUGACCAGACAGCUUUAAAGAGCAAGGUUGACUUUAUGGAGCCAAUGAAACCCCUUGGAAAGAUAGGCCUGGUGCCUUGAUUGCAUGGUUUUCAGCAGCCUUACCAAUCAAGUACGGAAGGUUACUUCCCAUCAGGUGCAGGAACCUCAGAAUAUUUGGGGGCCUUGAUAAGAGAAGAAAAUUCACCCAAAGCCAUAGGUAUUGCAGGUUUGGGGCAUUUUCCUAACUUGUGUGACUUCGGUCUGUUUGACUGGGAUGUUCAUGAUUCGCCUCUCACACCGCGGCGUGCCCUUCUCCCACCUACCCCAGGUGGGCUGUGGACCUGAUCCCUCUGUGAAGAACUAGUUAUGAAGAUAAGAAUUCAGGAAGACGUGUAUCAGAAGUGGGCCACUGAUGAAUGUAAUGGGAGAGGUGGACUUCAGUUUCCUGGUUGGAGAGCGUGAUAUUUUUUAUCGGACAUAAAUCCAAAGGACCAAUCCUAAGUAAGAAUGUUUCAUGCAUUUCAUAUGCUGCAUCUCAUGGAUUGUCAGAGUGGCUCUGCAGGGAACAUGCGAGUGAAGGGCUCUGUGUGUGGGUUCUCGUGGCAUGUCUGUUGUGCCUUCCCAUGACGUGUGAUGAAUGGGAUUUGCAGGAAUGCAUCCCUACGGAGCCCAGAGCCUGGAGCCUGGGGCCAGAGAGACUACAGCCUCUCGGGUGGGACCAGCAUGGCUGGGCUCACUCUGUGGGCAGGGACAUGGGCCUGUGGAGGAGGAACCAUCUUUCCAUUUCUGGCCCGGGUUGUGCUAGAUGGGGAUGGAAACUGUCAGGAAUCCAGGCAGCAAGGAUACUGGGGGCAGGGGUGGGGGGCACCCACCCCCUUGCCGUUGGUGGAUGCUCAUCUUGGCACUGGAAACCUACAUUUUGGAAAGUUGCAUAUUCGUUCCUAUUUGCGUUUUCAAUAAGGAUUCCCCUUAGUUUUCUGCAGCUUUAGUUUUAUUAAUAUUCUUCUGCAAAUAUCAGCUAAUUUUGGUUAUACUCAGGGAAUAAGAGCAAAGAGACUAUCUAAGGUAGGAAUUUUGAUGGUACCAUGGAAAUUGGAGCAAAAACUAACUCCAAGGGGAAGGUGAAUCUCGCAGGGAAAGCCUGGGACCCCCGAGAUGAGCUGGAAAAUACACCCUACCCAUCUGGCAUCUCCUCUAGAGUCCCUUUGUUUAAACUUCGGAGGGGUUUGCACUUGAGCAUUAGCAGGAAGCUGUUCUGUGUCUUUUCCCUGGGAGGCGCCAUUUCAAAAAACUUGCCUCCAACACUACUGUUCGGUUUGUACGACAGUACAGCAGUUUCCCAAAGCGUGCCUUGUGGACCACCCGCAUCUGAAGCUCCCGGCGGGGGUAGUGGGGGUGGAGGGUAAAUUGCAGAAUUCCAGUUUUUUAGAGACUGAGUCUGAACCUCCAGGUCUCUGGACCUAGGGAUCUGAAUUUUCAACACAUACCUACUUGAUUUGUAAGCAUCAAAAUUGAGGAACCAUUGCUGCAAAAUCUCGGAAAGUUGAGCUGAGCUCUGAACACGGUCUUACCUCCCAAGUUCGUAAAAGAGGAGGAUCAUUUCAGAGCUCCAUGGCCACAAGCCUGAAUUCCUCCUGCUUGAGUGGCAUGUGCAAGUGCAUGCCUUUGCUAAGGCCCUGCCAAAAGAUAACCACAGGUGGAUAUGCCCUCAGUGGGACUCAAAUGACAUGCACUGUUUCCAAAGAUAGCAACACCGAACUCGUGCUGAUGACUCUGUGUCUGUAUGUGUGCGUGGCUGCCAGCCUUAUAUAGAGAGUGGGGGCCCUAGUGGGCGAACAGCGUGUUCAAUGAGCUCUGGGACUUGCCGGGUCCUUAGAGCCCUGAUACGUAAGGUCACCACAUAUCUGCGUCUGUCUUUGGAGAUCGCCCAGCCCAGUGGGGUGAACAGCUGAUAAAUGCUCUUAGCAAGCAGAGCUGGGCAGCUGGGCCAUCUUUUUCAAAUGGGACCGAACAUCUGGAAUGGUUUCUUGGGGCAGUGGGGCUAUCGUUAGUAUUACUGACACAUGUCAAGGUAGACCACAGACCCUCAUUUGGUUCUGGCAGAGUGGUCCCGACAGGGGGUCCUGCCUGCCCAGCUGCCACUCCAUUUGUUCCUAUGUCAUUUCUUGAUUCUCAAGUCAUUUCUUGAUUUCUCACCCUCAUUCCUCUCUUCCCUCACCCUCAAAGCCAAGCCCUCACCAUCUGCUACCAUAACUGCAGGUGGUCAUCGUGAUCCUCCUGGGUCAUGGAACGUGAGCCUCAAAGAGAGGUCCCGGCUGUCCCCGUCGCCACAGCGUCAGGAGUGCCCCUGGCCCGGGGGAGGUGUGCUUGUUGAAUGAAUCGAUGCUAGGCUAUCUCAGAGGAAGAGCCCUGGGCUCCUCCUGGCCUCUCUCAGUGGGACCUGCCCCCUGGGGCGGGAAAUCCCCAGUUAAGGCGCUGAAUGAGUCAGAGCCACGCCAGAGCGCCCGGCCAGCCUAGUUGGUAAACAGGCAGCUGUGGAGUGCGUACUUGUGCACCUCAUCUUGGGGUGAAUCCCUUCCAUGUGGACCCUCCUCUGGCCUCCACACUGUCCCUUGCACACACACUUCUCCCUUCCCUCUCAUGGCUCUUGUCCUCACAAGCCUCCCAUUCCUCAGAAGCCCCCUGGCCCUUCCAGACCAGCUGGAGCCCAGUCCUCCCAGAAACACAAUUCCUUCUGACGACACCAACCCAGCCUGAUCUUUGCUGACUCCCAGUGCCCAGUGGCCUUGGGGCCAAGGCAGCUCUGCCAGGCUUGGGUCUUGGUGGUGGGUUUCAGAGUAUGCACCAGAGGAGGAGGAGCGGGGAGGGGACAACUCAAGGACACUGAGCGUUGAGUGGAGCCCCCGCUAGCAUUCUGACCUAGCCUCAGAAGUCGGUGGCAUCCCUUCUGCUGCAUCCUGCACAUCAAUGUGUACCCAUGGCAACCCCUGAGUUUCCAGGGGAAGUGGCCAGUUUGGGGAAAUGGUAAUCUACCAGUGUGCCACUGUUGUUUUCUCAAACAAGAAAUUCGUUCUUUAAGAGAGAGAUGGUGUUGGCCCAAUAAAAACUAUUUUUUACACCGCUUGUUUCCCACCAUGUACGCAAUACAGCAUAGGGUUUCCAGUGUGCGUGGGACUGUCAUCAACCUUUAAACCUUCUCUCACAUGAGUCUCCUCCCUGUUAUUUUCACUGUAUAUGAUCCUUUUUCUUUGCUUAGAAAAAUUGUCUUUAAUCUUUUCCUUCAAAGGAUACAGAAGAGGUUGCACUUCCUAGAAGUCCUUUAGUGAUUUAACUAUCUGAAAAAAUAUAAAUUAUUUUUGGCAGACAGAUUUUUGUUUCACGAGAAGGCUGAUGUUGGGACAAUGGCCAAGAAACCAACCACUCCCUGGCACCUCCCUUGGCUUGUUCUUGUUUCAAAAACCACCCUUUUGAAAAUAAUUACAGGUAACCUACUUACAGCAUAAUAUAUAACAUUUGGCCCAGUCGACCCAAGUCAGCAUUCAAUCAAAACCUCAGAUUAUUUAGGCAAAAAUCAAACCUAAUAAAUUAGCUGUACAUUUCAUAGCACUUAAAAAAUAUAAAGUGUCAUGUGCUAGGAAGCAAGGGCUGCUACAAGCCAGGGUGCACAAGCCACUCUGACUAUGCAUUAGGAGUGCUCCCGAGGUCACCAAAGGACUCCCCACUGAUGCAGGCGCUGUUCAGACAUCUGUGAGACCUCACUGGCUCAUAUCUUAGCCCCUGGGCCCAAGAUAGGCUGUGUCUGUUGCUUGGAGAACCUCAGUCUGACCAGUGGCCUGUGUGACCCUCUGCCAUGGAGGGUGUCCAAAUGUGCUUUCCGCUCUAGGCUGCCCUGUACAGUGGUGCCAGUCAGGCACCAAGCAACUGCAGGAACAGUAUUCUCAUUAAGAACAUCCUAGGUCUUUUCUGGGAGACAGCCCUACCAUAUCUUGAGGAAUGUGGUGCCUCUUCCUAAUUCAUGCAGAGGUGCAUGCCAGCUGGGAGGGGAAAGAACACCAUGACUAGCAAGUAAUGGGGGUAUAACUCUGCCUCUUCUGUUCACGGGCUGCAUGCCUACCCUAUGAGUAUUAGUCAGUGCGGGCUGCUGUAACAAAGUACCAGAAACUGGGUAGCUGCUUAAACAACAGCAAUUUAUUUUGUCACUGUCCUGGAGUCUGGAAGUGUGAGAUGAAGAUGUCGGCAGGGUGGGCUUCCUCUGAGACCUCUCUCCUGGGCGUGUAUAUGCCAUCUUCUCCCUGUGUCCUCACAUGGUUGUCCCUGUGUGUGUGUCUGUGUCCUCUUGACUUCUUAUAAGAACAUCAGUCACACUGGAUUAGGGCCACCGUAAUAAUCUCAUCUAAUUUUACUUACCUCUGAAAAACUCUCUCCAAAUAGGGUCAUAUUCUGAGGUACUCAGCAUCAAGGCAAUAUAUGGAUUUUUUUGGGGGGGAAGGACACAAAUCAGCCCCUUAAUACUAUGCCUCAGGGUCCUGAUCUCUAACCUGGGGGUUAUAAUAAUAUUCUCAAAGGAAUUUAUGUGAAAGUGCUUUGAGGAAUAUAAAGUGCUGUGUAUAUAUGAAGUGUUAAUUCCUUUGCCCUAAUGACUUGUGCCAAGAUCCCUGAUGUGAUCGGUUAGAUCUGGUAGAAAUACCAGGUGGAGUCAGUUCUGCAGAAGGUGGGAAGAGGCAGUAAGAGGUGGUGGGGUUGGGGCAUGAGAUGGUGGCAUGCCUGCCUGCCCUGCAUUAAUUUCUUCUCUGCUACCCCAGCUGUGGGUGCUGACGCUUACUCAGUGGAUACUUAGCAGGCACCUGCUUUGUGCCAAACCUCUGGAGCAUGAGGUGUGGAGGAAGAGGGAGGGGAGGGAUGGCCCGUACCAGGAUGUGGAAGAUCCUGAGAGCUCUUGUUGCAUUGGCCUUCAGAGUGGUUGGAAGUGAUGUCACGGUUAUUGGGGGGCCAACAAGCUUACUGGUUAUAGAGGGCGACUUGCUCUCCCUUCACAGAAUCACAUCAGGUUGAUUCUGAUCAGAUAUCUAAGCAGUGUUGUUCCCUGAACAAGCAUUAGCUGAUGGUGGUGGGCACACGGAAAAGGGAUUUAAUUUCCUUUGGACCAUAUGCUUAAUUUUUAUAACAUUUCUCAAAAUUUAUGAACAUGCUUUUGCCUUCUGAAUCUGCCCUUUAUUUCUAGAAGAACAAGGAAGGUCAGAUCUCUUCCCCAGAUGAUAAAUGACCAGAGCCCCUUCUGUAACAGCCACUCCCAACCUGGGGUUUUUCUUUGAAAUCAGGACUCUGAGCAGAUGAAGAGAUAUGAGUCAAGAGCAUGUCCAAAAAGAGGUCCUGCUGUGGACUUCAUGGGGCUGCUAUAACGUCUGUGUGCCUUGUUGUCUUUUGGAAUCCAGAACAUUCUGAAUUACAAAGCACUCCAAGAAUUUCAGAGUUGCAAACAUGCUGACAUCCUAAAUCAUCUGAUAUGGGAUCCCUAAUAAGCCUGGAGGUGUUCACCAGAUGAAGUCCCGCCCUCGCUUGUCCGCGCUGCUUCUGUGUUAGAAACUCAGCUUAGGCACGAGGACAGGAAUCGGCUGUUCUGAUUGUACAACCAUCAUGCUUUCCAUGGCUGACUGAUCGGAGAUCUGACUACACUUUACACCUGGACGUCCAGCACUAUUUGUUCCUGUUCUUUUCACUGUGGAGUUUGUCUUGAAAGAAAGCCUCAGCAUGCUAUUUCUGAGGGCCUAUCGACUGCUCCGGCGUGGCCAGAAUACUGUAUCACCGUCCCCUUGUGCUCACGCAUGAAUUGGAUCCUACCAUUCCCAGAUUGAACGUCUAUGCUUACCGAUGCAAGCAUUUUAUCAAAAACUCAAGUCCUUAAAAGAAUUUCUGGGAAUAAUGCUGAAGAUCAAGUAUGUCUGUGCCUUGCCCCUUUUAGAAGACUUGUUUCUGUAGGAAUGGACACUGGAAUACCAACAUGCAGCCCAAUGAUACCCCAACUUGAAGUGGUCCCAAGAACAAUUGGGCUUUGUUUUGUUUUAAUAGUUCCCACAGUUCCAUGUGGUGGUAAGAAUGAGAAGUCCCAGGGCAAUAGAAACAUGAAUGUCUACAGACAUGCAACCUCAAACCAGAUUAAAACUUAUCCUCAAUUUCAUAGAUUCAGGAUUAAAAAGACUAUUGAAAUUUACAUACUGCUGUGGACUUUUGAACUAGUGAAGUUUCUGGAAUAGUUUUCUUUCUAUCAUAGAAAAUGUCUCACAAAACAACCUUAUAUUUUAUUCGGCCAUAGUAAAUAUUUCAGGCUCUACUGUUGUGCUAUUUUGUUAAGAAAGGCAAAUACAAUGAAUUACUUUUCAAUUAAUAGUAGAAAAGAAUGCUAUGGCUGAAAUAAAGCAGUUGAAUUAAAAUGUUAAUUUGGUUUCAGCUUUUUACUUCCCUAAUUAUGUUCUGCUUGGUUUAGUAAUAAAUUUUUCAUUUUUGCCUGGGGUCCUAGAUAUAUGUUUCAGGGAAGGCCAAGAUGGAUUCAGGUUAAAAGCAAUUUUCCCAUAGCCUGCUGGAGCUGGUCAAGCGGUUCAUGGAUAAGCUGGCAAGAAGGAGCCACACAUUUAUUUUCUGUCAAAGAUGAUAACCUCCCUUUGAGCGUUUUACUUCUGGAGGAGACUAAAUGUUUUAUCCUCAUUUAUCUAGAAGGCAACUAACUUACAAUGCAUCUAUUUGCCACAUGGUUUAGUGGCGGUAUUGAAGAGGAGAGAAGGAUGUAUUUGGUAAGGGUAUGCUGGAGACAUGAGGAUGUAUGGUAGUGAAAUUUCAUUGCUGCCAGCAAAGGAAUCAUUGAAACUGUUAAAAACUGCUAUCAAAAACAAUGAAAAGACUUAAAGCUAAACCAUCUGGGCCCAUUUAGUUUAGGGAUGGUGGAGACUGAAACCAUGGUGGUGGAGACUGGACUUGAUAAUAGAAUCAUAGAAGCAAAACCUGUGGGAUUCUAAUGCUUGCUGAAGAAGACGAGGACACUAACAGCAGACACAUUUUUCUGAGCCCACAUGGAACACAAAUAAAUCACAUUCUCAGACUCAAAACACACCUUAAUGAACUUAAAAGAAUAGAAAUCAUACAAUGUCUGUUCUAGAUCACAGUGGAAUUAAACUAGAAAAUAGAAAGAGAAAAGCAGAUAGAAAAAUCUCAAAAUACUUGGAGAUUCAACAACACUCUUAAAUAACACCUAAGUCAAAGAAGAAAUCUCAGGAGAAUUAAAAAAACAAUUUGAAUUAAAUGAAACUGAAAAUACUAAAAAAGUACUUUGAAUUAAAUGAAACUGAAAAUACAAUGAUCAAAAUUUGUAGGAUGCUGUGAAAGCAGUUCUCAGAGGGAUUGGGAAGGAAGAAGUAAAACUGUCUUUGCAGAUGACAUAAUUUUCUAUGUAGAAAAUCUGAAAUAAAUCCACAAAAAAAACCCCUCUUGGAACUAAUAAACCACUAUAGCAAGGUUAUAGGACACAAGGUUAAUAUACAAAAAGUCAAUUGGUUUCUUAGAUACCAUUAAUGAAUAAGUGGAAUUUGAAAUUAAAAACACAAUACCAUUUACAUUAGCACCCCCUAAAAAAGAA